GCCAUUGGGGGCGGCGCUGGCACUGGAACUGGCACUGGCGCAGGCGCUGGCACUGGCACAGGCGCUGGCGCUGGAGCCACCGGCACCGGGGGAGGGUUUUCAGGCUUCGGUUUCGGCGGGGGCGGGGGAUUUUCCUUGGGCUUUUCGGGUACCUUGGGCUUCUCUGGCACCUUUGGCUUCUCUGGCUCCUUUGGCUUAGGUGGCGCCUUUGGCUUUUCAGGUUCUUUGGGCUUCUCUGGCUCUUUGGGCUUGACUGGUUCCUUGGGUUUUUCGGGCUCCUUAGGCUUCUCAGGUGGUUUGGGCUUGGGAGGUUCGAGAAUUUCAAUGCUUUUGAUAGUCCCACAGCCUUUGCAGCAAAUCUUGUCCCUCAGCUUCUCAGGGUUACAGCAUACCACCGUUAUGGUCACCAUGUCAUGCUUCUCGUCAUAAAC
Molecule: long non-coding RNA, 431 nt
Filed under: Phaseolus vulgaris (common bean)
Lineage: Eukaryota; Viridiplantae; Streptophyta; Magnoliopsida; Fabales; Fabaceae
Description: long non-coding RNA (PVUL_LNC003898)
Source: RNAcentral